RNAcentral lists this ribosomal RNA (447 nucleotides) under uncultured bacterium. RNAcentral describes it as "partial 16S ribosomal RNA". It matches the Rfam family "Bacterial small subunit ribosomal RNA", at positions 29 to 523 of the family's 1533-position model. The record is from RNAcentral.
AACGAACGCUGGCGGCAGGCUUAACACAUGCAAGUCGAGCGCCCCGCAAGGGGAGCGGCAGACGGGUGAGUAACACGUGGGAAUCUACCCAUCCCUACGGAACAACUCCGGGAAACUGGAGCUAAUACCGUAUACGCCCUUCGGGGGAAAGAUUUAUCGGGGAUGGAUGAGCCCGCGUUGGAUUAGCUAGUUGGUGGGGUAAAGGCCUACCAAGGCGACGAUCCAUAGCUGGUCUGAGAAGAUGAUCAGCCACAUUGGGACUGAGACACGGCCCAGACUCCUACGGGAGGCAGCAGUGGGGAAUAUUGGACAAUGGGCGCAAGCCUGAUCCAGCCAUGCCGCGUGAAUGAUGAAGGCCUUAGGGUUGUAAAGUUCUUUCACCGAUGAAGAUAAUGACGGUAGUCGGAGAAGAAGCCCCGGCUAACUUCGUGCCAGCCGCCGCCGUAA